Molecule: transfer RNA, 74 nt
Filed under: Podarcis lilfordi (Lilford's wall lizard)
Lineage: Eukaryota; Metazoa; Chordata; Lepidosauria; Squamata; Lacertidae
Description: tRNA.Lys
Rfam family: tRNA (bases 8-67)
About the family: Transfer RNA (tRNA) molecules are approximately 80 nucleotides in length. Their secondary structure includes four short double-helical elements and three loops (D, anti-codon, and T loops).
Source: RNAcentral
AUGUGGGAUAGCUCAGUUGGUAGAGCAUGAGACUCUUAAUCUCAGGGUUGUGAGUUUGAGCCCCGCUUUGGGUG